This 218-nucleotide ribosomal RNA is filed under the name uncultured bacterium. RNAcentral's name for it is "partial 16S ribosomal RNA". It matches the Rfam family "Bacterial small subunit ribosomal RNA", at positions 1283 to 1500 of the family's 1533-position model. The record is from RNAcentral.
GGUACUCAGUUCGGAUUGAAGGCUGAAAUUCGCCUUCAUGAAGCUGGAAUUGCUAGUAAUGGCAGGUCAGCAUACUGCCGUGAAUACGUUCCCGGGCCUUGUACACGCCGCCCGUCACACCAUGAGAGUUGGGAAUACCCGAAGCCUGUGAGCUAACUGUAAGGAGGCAGCAGUCGAAGGUAGAAUCAAUGAUUGGGGUGAAGUCGUAACAAGGUACC